RNAcentral lists this long non-coding RNA (201 nucleotides) under Anser cygnoides (Swan goose). RNAcentral describes it as "lncRNA (ENSACDG00005010888.1)". The record is from RNAcentral. Lineage: Eukaryota; Metazoa; Chordata; Aves; Anseriformes; Anatidae.
AGACAUUUCCCCCUGUUCUUCUAUUCAAUAACAACACAUCGGAAUAACCUUGUGAGAUGUCUUUCACAACCUAAAUAAAUAUUGAAAACAGUCACAUCUUCCAUACAAGCAGAGGAAAACAAAGAAGAUUACAUAAUUCAGACUAUCACAGAUCUAUACAACAGGAGACACCUGAAAGUGCAUGCUCAACCUAAAGAGGAG